This 570-nucleotide ribosomal RNA is filed under the name uncultured bacterium. RNAcentral's name for it is "partial 16S ribosomal RNA". It matches the Rfam family "Bacterial small subunit ribosomal RNA", at positions 355 to 914 of the family's 1533-position model. The record is from RNAcentral.
UGGGGAAUAUUGGACAAUGGGCGCAAGCCUGAUCCAGCAAUGCCGCGUGUGUGAAGAAGGCCUUCGGGUUGUAAAGCACUUUUAUCAGGAGCGAAACGCUGUCGGCUAAUACCCGGCGGAACUGACGGUACCUGAGGAAUAAGCACCGGCUAACUUCGUGCCAGCAGCCGCGGUAAUACGAAGGGUGCAAGCGUUAAUCGGAAUUACUGGGCGUAAAGCGUGCGUAGGCGGUUUCUUAAGUCUGCUGUGAAAUCCCCGGGCUCAACCUGGGAAUGGCAGUGGAUACUGGGAGGCUAGAGUGUGUCAGAGGGUGGUGGAAUUCCCGGUGUAGCGGUGAAAUGCAUAGAGAUCGGGAGGAACAUCAGUGGCGAAGGCGGCCACCUGGGACAACACUGACGCUGAGGCACGAAAGCGUGGGGAGCAAACAGGAUUAGAUACCCUGGUAGUCCACGCCCUAAAACGAUGCGAACCGGAUGUUGGUCUCAACUCGGAGAUCAGUGUCGAAGCUAACGCGUUAAGUUCGCCGCCUGGGGGAGUACGGUCGCAAGACUGAAACUCAAAGGAAUUGAC